Molecule: long non-coding RNA, 431 nt
Filed under: Cyanistes caeruleus (blue tit)
Lineage: Eukaryota; Metazoa; Chordata; Aves; Passeriformes; Paridae
Description: lncRNA (ENSCCEG00000012776.1)
Source: RNAcentral
AUGUUGCCAACCAUAUCCUAAAGUUUUGUACAAGGAGAGGCAGUGCAGCUUGUGUUUAUUUUAAGGCAAUUUUAAUUCUGACCAGAUGGGUUCAGGAAUACAAAUCAAGAAGGGGGAAGACUGCAUCAGGAGCUGAGGCACAUGGGGCUACCAAUUCUGUUGCCUGGCAACAGAAUUUCAGUAUUUAGUUGUGCAUAAAGGUACCUUGAAUGUGAACAGGCCUGGGAGAGACACAGGUAGAGAACAGGUCUCUGAAAUGAACUGAGGGGCUUCAUGGGAGAGAGCAUUUUCCUCCCUCCCAGGUAAAAUAGAGCAAGUCUAGGUAGAUAAAAGACAUGUUUACUUGUUGCUGCGAAGGCUGCACACAGAUGAAGGAUCUGACAUCUCUGACACCUUCGUAUUCAGCUGAGAUUGCUCACAAGGUGCUGUUG